RNAcentral lists this ribosomal RNA (252 nucleotides) under uncultured bacterium. RNAcentral's name for it is "partial 16S ribosomal RNA". It matches the Rfam family "Bacterial small subunit ribosomal RNA", at positions 524 to 776 of the family's 1533-position model. The record is from RNAcentral.
UACAGAGGGUGCAAGCAUUGUUCGGAAUUACUGGGCGUAAAGGGCGCGUAGGCGGUUUGGUAAGUCAGAUGUGAAAGCCCGGGGCUCAACCCCGGAAGUGCAUUGAAACUACCAGACUAGAGUGCAGUAGAGAAUGGCGGAAUUCCCAGUGGAGAGGUGAAAUUCGUAGAUAUUGGGAGGAACACCGGUGGCGAAGGCGGCCAUUUGGGCUGUAACUGACGCUGAGGCGCGAAAGCGUGGGUAGCAAACAGG